AUUGAACGCUGGCGGAAUGCUUUACACAUGCAAGUCGAACGGCAGCACGGGGCAACCUGGUGGCGAGUGGCGAACGGGUGAGUAAUGCAUCGGAACGUACCCAGUAGUGGGGGAUAGCCCGGCGAAAGCCGGAUUAAUACCGCAUAUUUCCUGAGGGAGAAAGCGGGGGGACCUUCGGGCCUCGCGCUACUGGAGCGGCUGAUGUCGGAGUUAGCUAGUUGGUGAGGUAAAGGCUCACCAAGGCGACGAUCCGUAGCUGGUCUGAGAGGAUGAUCAGCCACACUGGGACUGAGACACGGCCCAGACUCCUACGGGAGGCAGCAGUGGGGAAUUUUGGACAAUGGGGGCAACCCUGAUCCAGCCAUGCCGCGUGAGUGAAGAAGGCCUCGG
This 390-nucleotide ribosomal RNA is filed under the name uncultured bacterium. RNAcentral describes it as "bacterial SSU rRNA". It matches the Rfam family "Bacterial small subunit ribosomal RNA", at positions 29 to 420 of the family's 1533-position model. The record is from RNAcentral.